AGACUCCUACGGGAGGCAGCAGUGAGGAAUAUUGGACAAUGGAUGGAAAUCUGAUCCAGCCAUGCCGCGUGCAGGAAGAAUGUCCUAUGGAUUGUAAACUGCUUUUGUAUGGGAGCAAUAAGGCCUUCGUGAAGGCUGAUGAGAGUACCAUACGAAUAAGCAUCGGCUAACUCCGUGCCAGCAGCCGCGGUAAUUCA
Molecule: ribosomal RNA, 197 nt
Filed under: uncultured bacterium
Lineage: Bacteria
Description: partial 16S ribosomal RNA
Rfam family: Bacterial small subunit ribosomal RNA
Source: RNAcentral